GCAGUGGUGAUUCAGUGAUAGACUGCUUGCCUUCCAUGUGGGAGACUUGGGUUUGAUUCCUAGCCAGUGCA
RNAcentral lists this transfer RNA (71 nucleotides) under Loxodonta africana (African savanna elephant). It matches the Rfam family "tRNA". From Rfam's summary of the family: Transfer RNA (tRNA) molecules are approximately 80 nucleotides in length. The record is from Rfam by way of RNAcentral. Lineage: Eukaryota; Metazoa; Chordata; Mammalia; Proboscidea; Elephantidae.